This 1003-nucleotide long non-coding RNA is filed under the name Vulpes vulpes (red fox). Its description in RNAcentral is "lncRNA (ENSVVUG00000017105.1)". The record is from RNAcentral. Lineage: Eukaryota; Metazoa; Chordata; Mammalia; Carnivora; Canidae.
UUUCUAGGCAGCCCUAUCCAUAAGUCAUCCCAGACAAACCAAGCUAUUCAGCUUUCUAUUUACACAAGGUUCAUUGCAUAUUCCUUAGAGGCUGGGGCAAACAUCACAGAGCUCAAAUUUACGGCCUGGUUGUUCCAUUUUCAACCUCAGAGGGGGAUAUUUAUGUCUUUGCAAAGCUAAGCCACUGAAUUCCCUCUCAAUGUUUCAAGAGAUUUGCCUGGCUAUAUCCUCCAUUCACUCUAAUGGAAAAACUGGAAAGGAAAGGGUAGUUUCAUGUGAACAUGAAUUUUUUUUUUUUCCAACCUGAAGUCCCUGGAACCUACAGGGGGCCCCUGGCUCAUUGGCAUUUACCACUAUGGUUGCACUUAGCAACAGAGAAACUGCUAAGCAGUUGAAGCCUUGGGUGACCCUCGUAUUUGUUACCUGUUGGUGUACCCCAGGCAGGGUCCUAAACUCUACCCGCAUCCAUUUACAACACUUCUCACCCAUCUAAAUGAGAAGAAAGGGUAGACGAAGACAUGAAACAUGAUAGACACUGAUUUUUCUCUAUGAAAGGAAAGCAGCCAUGUAGCUUGCUUGCACACCACACUCCACUCUGCCGCUUGUGUAGACAGGCCAUUCAUAGGUGCGGGUGUCCAUUGGCAAUAUAAGUCCUAACCUGCUUCCCAACGGGGAGCAUGUGAUAUCAUAAAGAAAGGUAAACAAAGGCAAAGUGACUGAGAAAGAAAUGGAGGAUGGAGCAGGAACAAGGAGGCUUCGAGUCAACCACAAGCUGCACAAACUGUGGUCUUGCUGUUCCCUCAAACCUCCAGAAGAUGUGUGUGCCUUAGGCUGGAGCCAUGUGCCUGUUCCCUUUGACGGAAGUGGUAGCACCACUUGGAUCAUUAUCCUUGAACUGGAGUCAUCACGUGACCAAGGGCAACCCACUCAAACAGGAAAGCCUGAAGGGUUCCUCCAUGGAGUUUAAACUCUAAGGGAGAUGGAACGGUCUACUUUGUGAAGA